CCCUUUGGGGUGUGACUGCGUACCUUUUGUAUAAUGGGUCAGCGACUUAUAUUCUGUAGCAAGGUUAACCGUAUAGGGGAGCCGGAGGGAAACCGAGUCUUAAUUGGGCGUUAAGUUGCAGGGUAUAGACCCGAAACCCGGUGAUCUAGCCAUGGGCAGGUUGAAGGUUGGGUAACACUAACUGGAGGACCGAACCGACUAAUGUUGAAAAAUUAGCGGAUGACCUGUGGCUGGGGGUGAAAGGCCAAUCAAACCGGGAGAUAGCUGGUUCUCCCCGAAAGCUAUUUAGGUAGCGCCUCGUGAAUUCAUCUCCGGGGGUAGAGCACUGUUUCGGCUAGGGGGCCAUCCCGGCUUACCAACCCGAUGCAAACUGCGAAUACCGGAGAAUGUUAUCACGGGAGACACACGGCGGGUGCUAACGUCCGUCGUGAAGAGGGAAACAACCCAGACCGCCAGCUAAGGUCCCAAAGUCAUGGUUAAGUGGGAAACGAUGUGGGAAGGCCCAGACAGCCAGGAUGUUGGCUUAGAAGCAGCCAUCAUUUAAAGAAAGCGUAAUAGCUCACUGGUCGAGUCGGCCUGCGCGGAAGAUGUAACGGGGCUAAACCAU
RNAcentral lists this ribosomal RNA (607 nucleotides) under Salmonella enterica. Its description in RNAcentral is "partial 23S ribosomal RNA". It matches the Rfam family "Bacterial large subunit ribosomal RNA", at positions 582 to 1190 of the family's 2925-position model. RNAcentral also lists the same sequence under 5 other names. Lineage: Bacteria; Pseudomonadati; Pseudomonadota; Gammaproteobacteria; Enterobacterales; Enterobacteriaceae. The record is from RNAcentral.